CAGUCGCCGCGGUAAUACGGAGGGGGCUAGCGUUGCUCGGAAUUACUGGGCGUAAAGCGCACGUAGGCGGCUUGGUAAGUUAGAGGUGAAAGCCCGGAGCUCAACUCCGGAAUUGCCUUUAAGACUGCCGAGCUAGUAGGUGAGAGAGGUAAGUGGAAUUCCGGGUGUAGAGGUGAAAUUCGUAGAUAUUCGGAAGAACACCAGUGGCGAAGGCGGCUUACUGGCUCAUUCUAGACGCUGAGGUGCGAAAGCGUGGGGAGCAAACAGGAUUAGAUACCCCGGUAGUCCCUGUCUCUUAUAA
Molecule: ribosomal RNA, 301 nt
Filed under: uncultured bacterium
Lineage: Bacteria
Description: partial 16S ribosomal RNA
Rfam family: Bacterial small subunit ribosomal RNA
Source: RNAcentral